RNAcentral lists this ribosomal RNA (253 nucleotides) under uncultured bacterium. Its description in RNAcentral is "partial 16S ribosomal RNA". It matches the Rfam family "Bacterial small subunit ribosomal RNA", at positions 524 to 776 of the family's 1533-position model. The record is from RNAcentral.
UACGUAGGGUGCAAGCGUUAAUCGGAAUUACUGGGCGUAAAGCGUGCGCAGGCGGUUUUGUAAGUCUGACGUGAAAUCCCCGGGCUCAACCUGGGAAUUGCGUUGGAGACUGCAAGGCUAGAAUCUGGCAGAGGGGGGUAGAAUUCCACGUGUAGCAGUGAAAUGCGUAGACAUGUGGAGGAACACCGAUGGCGAAGGCAGCCCCCUGGGUCAAGAUUGACGCUCAUGCACGAAAGCGUGGGGAGCAAACAGG